This is a long non-coding RNA of Pungitius pungitius (ninespine stickleback), 358 nucleotides long. RefSeq lists it as uncharacterized. The transcript is spliced from 3 exons. The record is from RefSeq and is a predicted model, not a curated record. NCBI's taxonomy places the organism in Eukaryota, Metazoa, Chordata, Actinopteri, Perciformes, Gasterosteidae.
GAGAACAAAGUGAGAGCAGUCUGACCCUGCUGCUGUUCAGCUGCCUUUUUUCCUUGGAGAAGAAAAGCUGCUCAUUUGCCCGUCAACUGGACCACAUUUUACUUCAGAGGGGCGGCUUCAACCAGACUCAUUCAUUUCAGGAGUAAACCAACUGAUUCAAAGCCUGUGCACUUUACACCAACAUCUUGCCAUGCAUCGGCACACUGGGCCACAUGCCUUCUCACCCCUCCUCGACCGAUCCUUGACCAUCCCGCCCGGUCCAAUGGCAACUCGGGCCACCAACGUCGACAGAGCAGCAACGAGGCCCUCCUUCGCUCCCGCCACGGCCUUUCACAAAGCAACACAGAAGCCCUUCAGG